CGUGUGGUUCUAUUUUGUUGGUUUCUAGGACCGCCGUAAUGAUUAAUAGGGACAGUCGGGGGCAUCAGUAUUCAAUUGUCAGAGGUGAAAUUCUUGGAUCUAUUGAAGACUAACUACUGCGAAAGCAUUUGCCAAGGAUGUUUUCAUUGAUAAGGAACGAAAGUUAGGGGAUCGAAGACGAUCAGAUACCGUCGUAGUCUUAACUAUAAACUAUGCCGACUAGGGAUCGGACGAUGUUAUUUCUUGACGCGUUCGGCACCUUUCGAGAAAUCAAAGUGCUUGGGCUCCAGGGGGAGUAUGGUCGCAAGGCUGAAACUUAAAGAAAUUGACGGAAGGGCACCACCAGGGGUGGAACCUGCGGCUUAAUUUGACUCAACACGG
Molecule: ribosomal RNA, 381 nt
Filed under: uncultured ascomycota sp. JK1-16
Lineage: Eukaryota; Fungi; Ascomycota
Description: SSU rRNA
Rfam family: Eukaryotic small subunit ribosomal RNA
Source: RNAcentral